Long non-coding RNA from Gallus gallus (chicken), 2219 nucleotides. The record is from Ensembl. NCBI's taxonomy places the organism in Eukaryota, Metazoa, Chordata, Aves, Galliformes, Phasianidae.
AUAACCUUUGUGCGGUUUAAAAAGUACUGAACAUGCCAAGAAGCAACAACGGAUUGUCUUCAGGAAACAGUAUAAAUGAGUGGUGAAGGCACUCCUGACAUCGUGGCGUGGUGUAAGGAGGAGAGCAAAGCAAAAUUUGGGGAAUCCUUUCCACUAUUAGAGGGAAUUUCUCCAAGCUGUAUCUUUUUACCAGGUGCUGAUGGCUGCAGCAGAGAGCCCGGAGCUGAGCAGAAAAUGCGAACGGGUCAUUGCAUCAACAGCUGGAAAAAGGCAGUGGCUGUGAACAUGAUGGAUCUUGCAGGUGAGAACGUUCCGAGAGCAGCUGAGGCCCUGCAGUCACCAUCCGCUCGCCGCUGGCUCGGUCUGCUCACUGCUUUGCAGCCAGGACACCGGCAGUGCUUCUUCUCCACUUUUCCUAUUCCUGGAGCCUCCUUGUCAGCCGUGUGCGCCCUCACGCUGGCUGCCCACAGUGCUGGCACUUGCAGGCUGUUAUUGCAAAAGCUCAGCUCUGCAGAGCCAGGCUGGCAGUCCCAAGAAGACGUCUGGUCCUGAGCGGGGUCACCCAUCCCUGCAUGGCUCUGCGGGGUCCGGCGGCAUCAUCCCAUCAUCCGCUUCAUAACCGUUGCUAAUUGGAAAAUGAAACCAUAAGAAGAAAAUCUGCUUCAAGUUAUUGCAUGGGCUUUUGUCCCCCACCGAGGAGGCACAAAUCAAGGAAUCAGAAUGUUUAACAAAACAAACAGAGAUUUCUUUGGUAUUGUGGGAGAUUUAUAGGCUGCGGCAUCCAGAGAAGCCUCCUCCCGCUCCGUCCUUCUGCUUGAAUUCCUGCUGGUCACUGACUUAUUACUUUUCUUACUGCUUCCCCUGCUUUAAAAGUGGGGAAAGCACAAUCAAAUUAUCAUAAUACUCAUUUGGUUAAUUGCCCAUUUAGUUACUUAUUGAGUUCAUUAAAAAGACAGUGUCAGUUAGGAGGAAAUGCAGAGAGGUGGGCAGUGAGGGGACAGGAUGUGGGCUGAAAUAGGCCAUUACUCCGGCCCCGAGAAUGGCAGUUUGUGUCCCUUCUUUAUUGCUGCAUCACUUCUGUGCAUGAUUUGUUCUGGAUAAAAAAAAAAAAAAACCCAAACCAACCCAACAAGCACAAAGCAAAAGGAGAAAGCCUGCUGCCGCAGAUCUCCAUUGCGCGUUAGAAUCCAUUUAGCAUCAAUCCAAAGCUCUGCAGAAGCCCAAACCACCUAUUUUAGGAUCCUUUUUUCAGCUGAGAAAAAUGUGCUGCUCCACAGGUCAGGAGCUGCCUGCAAUUAUGACCCCGAAUAGAUAGAAACGUUGCUUCUUGAGACAAAUUCCAUCUGACAGUUUUUACAGUACGUUCGUUCAGAGCAAAAUGCCCUGUCCCCUGUCACCCGGAUUGAAAUUAUUAAGGAAGACAGACAUUUCACUGACAACUCUAGCCUGCGGGGGGAAAAUAUUCCUUCUGUUCCCCUCUGAAGGUCAGAGCUCACAUAAUGCAGAACACUUAGAGCACGCGCACACACGCUCACACACACACGGAAUAGAAGUUUCUCUGCAGCGGGGCUGUGGAUGGAUGCUGGGGCAAGCAGGUGCCUGCUGCACGCGUGUUGGAGGACUGGGGACAAAGAGGCUGAGGUUGUGUGUCUGCAGCUGGAAGUUUUCCUUGUCUGGUCCAUGGGUAACGCAUGGAGAGUGCGCUCACUCUGUAGGUGCGCCCUUCUGGCAGGCUGAAGGGUCCACGUGUGCCAUGGGUGCUGCCUUCCAUCCCUGCUCAGGUGCCUUUCUGUGCUGGGGGAGAGGCCCAGCCCGGCCCCUUUGUGCCCCCCAGCCCCACUCCUCCUGGCUGCACAUUGGCUGUCACUCACCGUGCCCCGGUGUGGGUCCUCGGGCUCACUCAAUCUAGGGCUGAAAAUUGGUCUUGAGUCAAGGUGGCCGGAGGUGAGAAAUCAGCCUGCAGCUCAUUAACCUUUCCUCAGCUCUGCCGGCACUUCGGUCCCUGCUGGCUGUGUGUGUGGUAUGGGGACAUCUGCACCAGGUGCUGUCCCUCCCUGCCUUCCCAGCCCGUACUGCAAACAAAUCCCAAAUCAGCGUCCAACCAGCAUCAGCACCAAAGCUGGAUGCAGAGCUCAGGAGCCUUUUACUCCACACUUACUCAUGGAUAAAGGGUGGAAAACCAAUUCCUGAUCCACGCCGCUCCAGCUGUGCCAUCCUCC